GGCAGCAGUGGGGAAUCUUCGGCAAUGGGCGAAAGCCUGACCGAGCAACGCCGCGUGAAUGAUGAAGGCCUUCGGGUUGUAAAAUUCUGUUAUAAGGGAAGAACGACUUUAGUAGGAAAUGGCUAAAGUGUGACGGUACCUUAUGAGAAAGCCACGGCUAACUACGUGCCAGCAGCCGCGGUAAUACGUAGGUGGCAAGCGUUACCCGGAAUUAUUGGGCGUAAAGAGCGCGCAGGUGGUUGAUUAAGUCUGAUGUGAAAGCCCACGGCUUAACCGUGGAGGGUCAUUGGAAACUGGUCGACUUGAGUGCAGAAGAGGGAAGUGGAAUUCCAUGUGUAGCGGUGAAAUGCGUAGAGAUAUGGAGGAACACCAGUGGCGAAGGCGGCUUCCUGGUCUGUAACUGACACUGAGGCGCGAAAGCGUGGGGAGCAAACAGGAUUAGAUACCCUGGUAGUCCACGCCGUAAACGAUGAGUGCUAAGUGU
RNAcentral lists this ribosomal RNA (484 nucleotides) under uncultured Bacillota bacterium. RNAcentral's name for it is "bacterial SSU rRNA". It matches the Rfam family "Bacterial small subunit ribosomal RNA", at positions 347 to 823 of the family's 1533-position model. The record is from RNAcentral. Lineage: Bacteria; Bacillati; Bacillota.